This 429-nucleotide ribosomal RNA is filed under the name Bacteroidota bacterium. RNAcentral describes it as "Bacteroidetes bacterium partial 16S ribosomal RNA". It matches the Rfam family "Bacterial small subunit ribosomal RNA", at positions 355 to 776 of the family's 1533-position model. Lineage: Bacteria; Pseudomonadati; Bacteroidota. The record is from RNAcentral.
UAGGGAAUCUUCCGCAAUGGACGCAAGUCUGACGGAGCAACGCCGCGUGAGUGAAGAAGGAUUUCGGUUCGUAAAACUCUGUUGUUAGAGAAGAACAGCGCAUAGAGUAACUGUUAUGCGGGUGACGGUAUCUAACCAGAAAGCCACGGCUAACUACGUGCCAGCAGCCGCGGUAAUACGUAGGUGGCAAGCGUUGGCCGGAUUUAUUGGGCGUAAAGCGAGCGCAGGCGGUAAAUUAAGUCUGAUGUGAAAGCCCCCGGCUCAACCGGGGAGGGUCAUUGGAAACUGGUUGACUUGAGUGCAGAAGAGGAGAGUGGAAUUCCAUGUGUAGCGGUGAAAUGCGUAGAUAUAUGGAGGAACACCAGUGGCGAAGGCGACUCUCUGGUCUGUAACUGACGCUGAGGCUCGAAAGCGUGGGUAGCAAACAGG